RNAcentral lists this ribosomal RNA (577 nucleotides) under uncultured bacterium. RNAcentral's name for it is "bacterial SSU rRNA". It matches the Rfam family "Bacterial small subunit ribosomal RNA", at positions 398 to 970 of the family's 1533-position model. The record is from RNAcentral.
CCGGUGAGUGAAGAAGGCCUCGGGUUGUAAAGCUCUUUUGUCAGGGAAGAAACACCGGCUCUAACACAGUCCGGGAAUGACGGUACCUGAAGAAUAAGCACCGGCUAACUACGUGCCAGCAGCCGCGGUAAUACGUAGGGUGCGAGCGUUAAUCGGAAUUACUGGGCGUAAAGCGUGCGCAGGCGGUUAUACAAGACAGGCGUGAAAUCCCCGGGCUUAACCUGAGAAUGGCGCCUGUGACUGUAUAGCUAGAGUGUGUCAGAGGGGGGUAGAAUUCCACGUGUAGCAGUGAAAUGCGUAGAUAUGUGGAGGAAUACCAAUGGCGAAGGCAGCCCCCUGGGAUAACACUGACGCUCAUGCACGAAAGCGUGGGGAGCAAACAGGAUUAGAUACCCUGGUAGUCCACGCCCUAAACGAUGCUGACUAGUUGUUCGGGAUUUACAUCCUGAGUAACGUAGCUAACGCGUGAAGUCAGACGCCUGGGGAGUACGGUCGCAAGAUUAAAACUCAAAGGAAUUGACGGGGACCCGCACAAGCGGUGGAUGAUGUGGAUUCAUUCGAUGCAACGCGAAAAACC